CGGGGGAAUCGAACCCCCAGCCUCUGCCAGCCUCUGGCUCCGCAGCUAGAAAUUUAGCUAAGCAGGGUUGGGCAUGGUUAGUAUUUGGAUGGGAAACCCUAUGAAAGCUAUGGAUUUCCACGU
Molecule: ribosomal RNA, 123 nt
Filed under: Pogona vitticeps (central bearded dragon)
Lineage: Eukaryota; Metazoa; Chordata; Lepidosauria; Squamata; Agamidae
Source: RNAcentral